This 301-nucleotide ribosomal RNA is filed under the name uncultured bacterium. RNAcentral's name for it is "partial 16S ribosomal RNA". It matches the Rfam family "Bacterial small subunit ribosomal RNA", at positions 509 to 808 of the family's 1533-position model. The record is from RNAcentral.
CAGCCGCCACGGUAAUACAGAGGGUGCGAGCGUUAAUCGGAUUUACUGGGCGUAAAGCGUGCGUAGGCGGCUUCUUAAGUCGGAUGUGAAAUCCCUGAGCUUAACUUAGGAAUUGCAUUCGAUACUGGGAAGCUAGAGUAUGGGAGAGGAUGGUAGAAUUCCAGGUGUAGCGGUGAAAUGCGUAGAGAUCUGGAGGAAUACCGAUGGCGAAGGCAGCCAUCUGGCCUAAUACUGACGCUGAGGUACGAAAGCAUGGGGAGCAAACAGGAUUAGAUCCCCAGUAGUCCCUGUCUCUUAUACA